AGACAACACGCCUUGUGCAAUAAUAUUCUGGCUUCUUCCAGUUUUAAGAACCGUUGUGAUUACACUGGGCCCAUCCAGAUAACUCAGGAUAAUCUCCCAACUGGUGUCCUGAACUUGAUCACACCUGCAGGGUCCUUUUGCCACAUCAAGUAAUAUCUUCACAGUUUCUGGAGGUCAGGACGUGAACAUCCUUGGGCUCCAUUAUUUUUGUUACCACAGGUGACUUCCUCAGAAAAGAGACUCCUCUCAAGUUUUCUCCAUGUUCGCGCCCCUCGUGAUUGAAGGCCCAAGUCCCUGGGCACUGCCUGGAAGCCGUGCUGUUGUUGCUGGCCCUCCUGCUCCUCUCAGGUCCUGCCUGCGGCAUCCAAGCGCUGGACCAGACGUUUGAAGCGGCGGGCUCGGGCCCAGGAGCUGUGCUGCUGCCUCCCCUCCUGCUCCCUCUCUCCUGAUACACACCGUCCUCCGGAGACGCAGGGCCCAGGCGGCUCC
RNAcentral lists this long non-coding RNA (489 nucleotides) under Equus caballus (horse). RNAcentral describes it as "lncRNA (ENSECAG00000051868.1)". Lineage: Eukaryota; Metazoa; Chordata; Mammalia; Perissodactyla; Equidae. The record is from RNAcentral.